UAGGGAAUCUUCCGCAAUGGACGCAAGUCUGACGGAGCGACGCCGCGUGUGUGAAGAAGGUCUUCGGAUCGUAAAGCACUGUUAUUAGAGAAGAACAACCGGUAGAGUAACUGUUACCGGCUUGACGGUAUCUAACCAGAACGCCACGGCUAACUACGUGCCAGCAGCCGCGGUAAUACGUAGGUGGCAAGCGUUGUCCGGAUUUAUUGGGCGUAAAGGGAGCGCAGGCGGUGACUUAAGUCUGAUGUGAAAGCCCACGGCUCAACCGUGGAAGGUCAUUGGAAACUGGGUCACUUGAGUGCAGAAGAGGAAAGUGGAAUUCCAUGUGUAGCGGUGAAAUGCGUAGAUAUAUGGAGGAACACCAGUGGCGAAGGCGACUUUCUGGUCUGUAACUGACGCUGAGGCUCGAAAGCGUGGGGAGCAAACAGG
This 429-nucleotide ribosomal RNA is filed under the name uncultured bacterium. RNAcentral's name for it is "bacterial SSU rRNA". It matches the Rfam family "Bacterial small subunit ribosomal RNA", at positions 355 to 776 of the family's 1533-position model. The record is from RNAcentral.